GGAGUUGUAGCUCAGUGGUAGAACAUUUACCUAGCAUGCACAAGGCCCUGGGUUCAAUCCCUAGCAACACCA
Molecule: transfer RNA, 72 nt
Organism: Cavia porcellus (domestic guinea pig)
Lineage: Eukaryota; Metazoa; Chordata; Mammalia; Rodentia; Caviidae
Rfam family: tRNA
About the family: Transfer RNA (tRNA) molecules are approximately 80 nucleotides in length.
Source: Rfam